CAAUAGCGUAUAUUAAAGUUGUUGCAGUUAAAAAGCUCGUAGUUGGAUUUCUGUUCUUGGGAUCUGGUCCGCCUCACGGUGAGCACUGGAUAACUGGGGACAUCCUCUCAAAGGCGGCAGGUGCACUUGAUUGUGUGUUUGUUGAAUUCGGGACCUUUACUUUGAAAAAAUUAGAGUGUUCAAAGCAGGCGUCGGCUUGAAUACAUUAGCAUGGAAUAAUGGAAUAGGACUUUGGUUCUAUUUUGUUGGUUUCUAGGACCGAAGUAAUGAUUAAUAGGGACAGUUGGGGGCAUUAGUAUUUAAUUGUCAGAGGUGAAAUUCUUGGAUUUAUGAAAGACUAACUACUGCGAAAGCAUUUGCCAAGGAUGUUUUCAUUAA
Molecule: ribosomal RNA, 378 nt
Filed under: uncultured eukaryote
Lineage: Eukaryota
Description: partial 18S ribosomal RNA
Rfam family: Eukaryotic small subunit ribosomal RNA
Source: RNAcentral